CCUACGGGAGGCAGCAGUGAGGAAUAUUGGUCAAUGGACGAGAGUCUGAACCAGCCAAGUAGCGUGAAGGAUGACUGCCCUAUGGGUUGUAAACUUCUUUUAUAUGGGAAUAAAACGUUCCACGUGUGGGAUUUUGUAUGUACCAUAUGAAUAAGGAUCGGCUAACUCCGUGCCAGCAGCCGCGGUAAUACGGAGGAUCCGAGCGUUAUCCGGAUUUAUUGGGUUUAAAGGGAGCGUAGGUGGAUUGUUAAGUCAGUUGUGAAAGUUUGCGGCUCAACCGUAAAAUUGCAGUUGAAACUGGCAGUCUUGAGUACAGUAGAGGUGGGCGGAAUUCGUGGUGUAGCGGUGAAAUGCUUAGAUAUCACGAAGAACUCCGAUUGCGAAGGCAGUUCACUGGACUGCAACUGACACUGAGGCUCGAAAGUGUGGGUAUCAAACAGGAGUAGAUACCCGUGUAGUC
This 460-nucleotide ribosomal RNA is filed under the name uncultured bacterium. RNAcentral's name for it is "partial 16S ribosomal RNA". It matches the Rfam family "Bacterial small subunit ribosomal RNA", at positions 338 to 795 of the family's 1533-position model. The record is from RNAcentral.